AGUGAACGCUGGCGGCAGGCCUAAUACAUGCAAGUCGAACGGCAGCACAGCAGAGCUUGCUCUGUGGGUGGCGAGUGGCGGACGGGUGAGGAAUACAUGGGAAUCUGCCCAGUCGUGGGGGAUAACGUAGGGAAACUUACGCUAAUACCGCAUGCGCCCUUCGGGGGAAAGCCGGGGGACCUUCGGGCCUGGCGCGAUUGGAUGAGCCCAUGUCGGAUUAGCUAGUUGGCGGGGUAAUGGCCCACCAAGGCGACGAUCCGUAGCUGGUCUGAGAGGAUGAUCAGCCACACUGGAACUGAGACACGGUCCAGACUCCUACGGGAGGCAGCAGUAGGGAAUAUGGACAAUGGGCGCAAGCCUGAUCCAGCCAUGCCGCGUGAGUGAAGAAGGGACCCCUCGGGUUGUAAAAGGCUCCUUUUGUCCGGAAAGAAAACGACGCCGGGUUAAAUACCCCGUAAGUGUCCCUGACGGUACCGGAAGAAU
Molecule: ribosomal RNA, 483 nt
Filed under: uncultured bacterium
Lineage: Bacteria
Description: bacterial SSU rRNA
Rfam family: Bacterial small subunit ribosomal RNA
Source: RNAcentral